UAUUCUUCUAGAAGAGUUGUGAAUUUAGUUUAGGCUUAGGUCUAUUCAUUUUGAAUUUAUUUUUAUGGGGUGAGGUAAGGUCAGAUACCUAGUUAUUCCAGGAUCAUUUCUUGAAGAGAUUUUUCUUUCUCUGUUGAAUUACUUUAGCCCAUUGACUGGAAAUCAGUUGGCCAUCUUAGUGUGGCCUAUUUCUGAAUUCCAUUACGUUUCUUGAUCUGUAUGUCCACUCUUAGGUCAUGACCGUACUCUCUUGGCUAUCAUAGCUUUAUAGUGAGUACUGGAAUCAGGUAGUGUAAGUUCUUUGGUAAAGUAGGUCCAUUGCAUUUCCUUAUAAACUAUAGAAUCAACUUGGUAAUUUUUAAAAACUUGGAAUUUUGAUUGCCAUUAGGUCAAAUCCAUUCAUCAAUUUGGACAGAAUUGCCAUCUUAAGCCUUCCAGUUCAUGGUCAUGAUACAGUUUUCCAUUUAUUUUUCUCUCUUUAAUUUCUCUAAGUGGUCUCUUAGAACUUUCAAAGUAUAGGGCUUGUACUGAUUAAUCUCAACGUAUUUCAGCUAUUUGGAUGUCCUUAUAAGUGGCAUUUACAAACUUUAACGUGUUUAUUGUUUAUUGUAUGUAGAGAUGCAGAAUUGAUUUUCAUAUGUUAUCCCUAUACCUUGAGACCUUGCUAAACUCACCUGUUAGUUUCACUAUUUUUCCUUAUAGGUUUUCUAUGAUUUCUUACAUACACAACAAUGUCACUGCAAAUAAAGAAUUUUCUUUUUAACUUUUCAAUCUGUGUGCUUUCAGUUUCUCUUUCUGGCCUGACUGCAGUGGCUGUCUCCUGCAGGAUGACAUUGACUGGGAGCAGUACCAGUGGUCUCCUGCAGUAUGACAUUGAUUAGGAGCAGUAGCAGUGGUCUCCUGCAGGAUGACAUUGAUUAGGAGAAGUACCAGUGGUCUCCUGCAGGAUGACAUUGAUUGGGAGCAGGACCAGUCGUCUCCUGAAGGAUGACAUUGACUGGGAGCGGUACCAGUGGUCUCCUGCAGGAUGACAUUGAUUAGGAGCAGUACCAGUGGUCUCCUGCAGGAUGACAUUGAUUAGGAGCAGUACCAGUGGUCUCCUGCAGGAUGACAUUGACUGGGAGCAGUAGCAGUGGUCUCCUGCAGGAUGACAUUGAUUAGGAGCAGUAGCAGUGGUCUCCUGCAGGAUGACAUUGAUUAGGAGCAGUAGCAGUGGUCUCCUGCAGGAUGACAUUGAUUAGGAGCAGUACCAGUGGUAUCCUGCAGGAUGACAUUGAUUAGGAGCAGUACCAGUGGUAUCCUGCAGGAUGACAUUGAUUGAGAGUGGUACCAGUGGUCUCCUGAAGGAUGACAUUGACUGGGAGCGGUACCAGUGGUCUCCUGCAGGAUGACAUUGAUUGGGAGCAGUACCAGUGGUCUCCUGCAGAAUGACAUUGAUUGGGAGCAGUACCAGUGGUCUCCUGCAGAAUGACAUUGACUGGGAGCAGUACCAGUGUCUCCUGCAGGAUGACAUUGAUUAGGAGCGGUACCAGUGGUCUACUGAAGGAUGACAUUGACUGGGAGCGGUACCAGUGGUCUCCUGAAGGAUGACAUUGACUGGGAGCGGUACCAGUGGUCUCCUGCAGGAUGACAUUGACUGGGAGCGGUACCAGUGGUCUCCUGCAGGAUGACAUUGACUGGGAGCGGUAGCAGUGGUCUCCUGCAGGAUGACAUUGAUUAGGAGCGGUACCAGUGGUCUCCUGCAGGAUGACAUUGAUUAGGAGCGGUACCAGUGGUCUCCUGCAGGAUGACAUUGAUUAGGAGCGGUACCAGUGGUCUCCUGCAGGAUGACAUUGAUUAGGAGCAGUACCAGUGGUCUCCUGCAGGAUGACAUUGAUUAGGAGCAGUACCAGUGGUCUCCUGCAGGAUGACAUUGACUGGAAGCAGUACCAGUGGUCUCCUGCAGGAUGACAUUGAUUAGGAGCAGUAGCAGUGUUCUCUUGCAGGAUGACAUUGACUGGGAGCAGUACCAGUGGUCUCCUGCAGGAUGACAUUGAUUGGGAGCAGUACCAGUGGUCUCCUGCAGGAUGACAUUGAUUAGGAGCAGUACCAGUGGUCUCCUGCAGGAUGACAUUGAUUAGGAGCAGUACCAGUGGUCUCCUGCAGGAUGACAUUGACUGGAAGCAGUAGCAGUGGUCUCCUGCAGGAUGACAUUGAUUAGGAGCAGUAGCAGUGUUCUCUUGCAGGAUGACAUUGACUGGGAGCGGUACCAGUGGUCUCCUGCAGGAUGACAUUGAUUGGGAGCAGUACCAGUGGUCUCCUGCAGGAUGACAUUGACUGGGAGCAGUAGCAGUUGUCUCUUGCAGGAUGACAUUGAUUGGGAGCAGUAGCAGUGAUCUCCUGCAGGAUGACAUUGACUGGGAGCAGUAGCAGUGGUCUCCUGCAGGAUGACAUUGAUUAGGAGCAGUACCAGUGGUCUCCUGCAGGAUGACAUUGACUGGACGGCACCAGUGGUCUCCUUGCUUGGGGUUGCCAGUCUUAAGGGGAAGGCAUUCAGUUUUCACCCUUAAAUAUGAGAGCUAUGGGCUUCACGUAGACACUUCCAAGCAGGCUGAAGAAGGACACUUCUAUUUCUAGUUUUCUAAGAGCUUAUUAUUAUUUUUGAUAUUAGUAUUGGCCAUCAGUGUGUUACUCCUUUUUCUCAUCCCUUUAUAUAUUGCUGGAUUAAAUUUGCUAACAUUUGGCUACACUGAAACUAGGGACACAGCCUGUAGUUUUUUCUUGUGAUGAUGUUUCUGGGUUUAAUUUCAGGGUAUAACUGGUUUCACAAAAUCGAGUUAGGAAAUGGUCCUUUUCUUUUAUCGACGUUCUUAAAGGUUUGAUAGAAUUUACCAAAAUCCUGCGGGUCUGGGAGUUUGUAGAAAGGCUUUGUAGGAAUGCUUUGUUUUUUAAAUUUGUUGUUGUUCUCCUGUUUUUGUGCUUAGAUUUAUGAAAAGCUUUAAAUUAUUAACUCAAUUUUCUUUAUUUUUUGCAUCUCUUCACAUUUUGUUUCUUCCUAAGUUGGUAAUUUGUGUGUUUCACAGAGAUCAUCAUUUUCACCUGAACUGUUGAAUCACUGUGAUAAGGUAGUUCAUACUGGUCCCCUAUUAUCUAUUUUAUAUCUGUAAUAUUUAUCAUGAAAUUUCCUCUUUUAUUUCUGAUAUAGGCAAUUCGUGUUUUCUCCUUUUUCUAACUAAAAUUAAUAAAUUUUACUGAUCUUUCAAAAAAACUACUGAUUUUUCUUUAUUGUCUAUUUUUGUUUUUAACUCUUUAUUUUCUUCUACUUUCUUCAGUUUGAUUCAUACAUCUUGCACACCCAAAGCCAAGUUAUUUUCUGGUUGCAUCAUAGUAUAAUACAUACUGUAAGACAUCUUCCUUGUAAAACAUUCGGAUAAAAGCACUAGGAGACAGUGAAUUUCACCUAGAUAUGCACCACCUGUGACAGUGAACAUCAGCAUUUGGGAGAGAUUCAAACCUGUAUCAUCUUAGGCAGGUGAAAGUAUUUCAUGCAACUUUAUAGUAUCUCUUCUACCACCCUGUUCAUUUUGCAUCUCAGUAUCCCUCUGAAAUUCCCUCUCAGCCCCACAGCAAAGUUAUGAAAACUAUGGUAUGUAAACGUUCAUCUGUUUCUCCAUGCACACUUAAUAUGCUGGUGUAUUUUUUAGUUCAUUCUUUUAUAUAAAUACAUUCAUAGUAUAUACAUUUCACUAUAUCUUAUUUUUUCUUAUGCUUGCAUAAAUUCCUUUUUUUGUUUUUUAAAUGAAGUCUCUGUCACCCAGGCUGGAGUCCAGUGGAGCGAUCUCUGCCCACUGUAACCUCUGCCUCCAGGGUUUAAGUGAUUCUCCUGCCUCAGCCUCCUGAGUAGCUGGGAUUACAGGCCUACACCACCAUGCCCAGGUAACUUUUUUAUUUUUAGUAGAGACGCGGUUUCACCACGUUGGCCAGGCUGGUUUUGAACUCCUGACCUCAAGUCAUCAGCCCGCCUUGGCCUCCCAAAGUGCUACGAUUACGGUUGUGAGCCACCGUGCCUGGCACAUACAUUUCUUAUGAUAAAUGUGGAAUUAAAAAAAAGACACAGAAAUCUCUCCCAGUCUGUCGGCCCAAUUGUAUCUCAUUCUGUGUGGUAGAUGCCAUGGCAUUGUACCAGAAUUUGCCAUCCCAGACCCGUUUUUAUUUUGCUUUGAUUCUUUUUGGACCCUUAAAACUAGGCUUACAAGAUCCUCAUGUUUGUAUACAUUGAGUACUUACAUAAGGUGCUUUUUGCUGUUUGGGACAGGAAAAGUUAGAAAAAUAGAUGGAUAUAUGCUUUUCUGUAUGUUGCUAGAUUUAGUGAAGAAAAUUGUAACAAGUCAUGCUUCUCACACUUUCAGCAUGAAUGAGCGACCCCUUCUUUCCCAGUGUUGAUGUGAUACUCCCUUUCCCCCAAUCCUUGCUAUCUGAGAACUUUGCCAUUCUUGAUUUUAGCAAUUUGGACAGUGUCUUUCCAUUUCCUGUUAUGAUUGAUGGGAAUUUGAUGACUUUAUAUCACUAGCCCUUCCCUUUCGAUAUAGUUAUAUGACUAUUUGCAUUUUCAUCAAUAAACAGUAUGUGGCUUGUGGAACCCGUUGCUCCAGGAGAGGCAGUUGUGGGAAGAAGAAAAGGCUCUGGUGAGUCCUGCUGUCUUCUUGCCACUUCCAGCCAAGUACUGGGGGAGAAGGGGCCCAGGAGAGGACCGGAGGGUGUGCAGGCAGAUGGAUGAGAUGGCAGGUGCUCUGGGUCCCUGAUCCAGACAUUUGAGGCCUCCCAGACUUGGACAAGAAAGUGAUUUGCUUGUCUUUUAAAAAUCGAUUUUUCAACUUUAAAAAUACAUAAUGUGGUUUUUAAAAUUUUGUUGGUUUUGUGGAUUACAAAAAUCUCCCAGGAUGUGACUUAUUGAUUUAUAUAUGCUUUUGCCACACUUAAACUUUUUACCUGUAAGGAGAGUGUUUGUGGAGGGUUUCACAGCCUUUACCCUCUAUUUAGCCACAUGGAAUUUGUAGAACUUUAUAAAUUUAUGGCUUGCCUUGAUGAUGUCUUUCAUUAGUUUUGGAAAAUAUUACCAAUUAUCUCUUUAAACCAUGAUUUGUCUGUACUCCGGCUUUGGUUUCUUUCUGGAGCUGCUGUUCUGUGCAUGUUGGAUUUUCCCCUGAGUCCUGCAGGCCUGUCGUGCUGUCUUCUGCAGUCCCUGCCCUUUUCCUCUCUGUUUUAGUUGUGAUAUUUUCCAUUGACCUGGACUCUGGUUCAUGGUCCUUUCUUCUGCUGGGUAGCAUCUGCUGUGAAACCCAUCUGUUGAGUUCUUCAUUUCAAUUAUUGUAUUUUCCACUUCUAAAAUUCCCAUUUGGUUCUUUUUAAUAGAUAUCAAUUCUCUGGUGAGAUUUUGCAUUUUUCCUUCUUGUUCCCAUCAUUUCCUCGAACAUAUUCAUAACCUGUUUUAAAUUCCUUACCUGAUGAUUUUAGUAUAUGCAUCCAAGGUGGGUGUUUUUCUGCUGACUUGUUUCCCCUGACUUUGGAUCACUGAGUUCCAUCACUGUAAUGUGCAUGGCAUUCCUGUGCCCGCCCUGAAUUCUAGACCUUGUGUAUGAACAGUUGUGAGACCUAUGGGUGCCAUCUUCUCCCAGAGAGGGUUCAUGCUUUCUGUGCGAGGCAGAUCAAGGAGGUCCAAGCUGCCUUCAAGUCUAAGCUGACUUGAGGCUGGGCUGUCAGUGGGCUCCGUGGGCCCCUCCUCUCUGGGGGUCUUACCCAAAGGCCUGUGGGGAUCACAAGGCCCCUCUCCUCAGCAGUUGCUAAUCUCCAAGCCUUGAUUUUUCUGGAACUUGGUGCACUUUCACUACUGUGGCCUGGGGCUUUCUUCUUGGCUUGGUGCCUUUUCACCCCUUACAACCUCAUAAGCCAGCAGAUGUGUGGAGGGAAAAUGCUGACACCAUUUUCAUGGAUAAGCCAGGACUGGUUUAUCUCUCCCCUUCCCAGUGGGAUCCUGGUCCCUCAAGUCUCUCAUUUUAGUUUUCCAUCCACAUGAGCCCGCCGAAACCUUGAUGGGGUCUCUGACUCUCAGUAGUGGCCUCAGGCCUGGCUCUUUGUGCAGACUGAGCCUCGCUCUAUAUCAGACUCAAUAGAUGGCUUGAUGGGAGGAGCUGCAGGAUGUGGCCCCCUCUCCCGGAGUUUACCCUUCUCCUGGUUUUGUCUUCUCAAGUCCUUGUGGCCACCAUGGUGCUCCAGUGCUUUCAAACAGAUUUUGGGGGUGUUUUCCCAGAUUUUCUAUUUAAUCUUGGCAGGAGCACUGGCUCAUCACCAACAACCUCCCACAUCAGCAACUUGAGCUUUUUCCAAAUAAAAAAAGUUGAAAACAUAAAUAAUAAAUAACUGCCUUCCUGGGAGCUGCAACGGAAAAGCAACCCUGUGGCGGUUUGAAGAAUUAAGCAGGCACCUAGAAGGGAGCUGACAUUUCAUCAUGCCCUGCUGGGAGUUUUUGAUUACCCCUUUUAUUUUUUGAAAAACAACAAAAAAAUCAGGUUAAGAAAGUUCCUUUCUAUUUUCUACAUUGUUUAAACACAUGAAUGAUUGUUAAUUUUAUAAAAGGAUUUUUCUGAAUCAACUGAGGAGAGCAAUAUCUUUUCUGCUUUAAUCUGUUGGGGUAACUUAGUAGUUACCUUGCAGAUAUUCCGGUGUUGAACCAUUUUACACUGUUAGGUGAAAUCCCGCUUUGCCAUGACAAAUGAUCGGUAAAAUGGCUCAUGUGGUAAUAUUUGAGUUGGGAUCCUUGCAUGUGUGAGCAAAAGCAGGAAUGGUGAAGGACUUUUUCCUGCAUUGUCCCUGGCUGGUUCUGGUGUUAACAUGUUGGCUGUGUUGGAUGGGUCAGACCUUCCUCUGGCCCUGCUCAUCUGUGAGCCCAGACUACCCGCUCCCUUGGGGAUGCUGUGUCACGGCUGUUGUGCUGCUUUCAAACCCCAUUAUUCUCAGCUUUGCUUUUGCUUUUUUUUUUUUUUUUUUCCCCGAGAUGGAGUUUUGCUGUGUCACCCACGCUGGAGUGCAGUGGUGUGAUCUCAGCUCACUGCAACCUCUGCCUCCUGAGUUCAAGCAAUGCUCCUGCCUCAGCCUCCUGAGUAGCUGGGAUUAUAGGCGUGCACCACCACACCCAGCUAAUUUUUGUAUUUGUAGUAGAGAUGGGGUUUCACUAUGUUGUCCAGGCUGAUCUCAAACUCCCAACCUCAAGUGACGUGCAUGCCUCAGCCUCCCAAAGUGCUGGGAAUACAGGUGUGAGCCACCAUACCGGCCAGCUUUCCAUUUUUGUAUCACCUUUGGUUUGUAGAGUUAUUUAGCUGAUUUUGAGCUUGAUCAUUUUUUUUUUUGGUGGGGGGGUGGGUGUGCUUGGUAGAUUUUAUCUGUCAUAGUAAAAUGUUUGGGCCUGAGAGGGAACCUCAAAACUGACUCUAUAAUGACAUCUUGGCAAGAAGCCCACAAGAGGACAUUUAUUUAUUUUUGAAUGUUUUAAGCGUUUUUAUUUAGAAAAGGCUCAAGCACAGGGUGAAGGCUGAAGAAUGCUGUGAGGAGCAUGCAGGUACAGAAAAUCAUUUGUGAGCAUUCUUGCCACAUUGACCUAUGUGUGUACAACUUCUCUGCUGGACUGAGAAAAGCACAUUUUGGAUUUUGUCACUUUGCUCUUUAGCACGUGUCAUCAUCCAUGUUUACUUCCGUGGUUUGUUUGUUUCUUUUUUUUUGAGAUGGGGUCUCCCUCUCUUGCCCAGGUGGGGCACAGUGGCGCAAUCUCAGCUCACGGCAACCUCCACCUCCCAGGUUCAAGCUAUUCUCCUGCCUCAGCCUCCCAAGUAGCUGGGACUACAGGUAUGUGCCACCACACAUGGCUAAUUUUCGUAUUUUUAGUAGAGACAGGGUUUCACCAUGUUGGUCAGGCUGGUCUUGAACUCUGGCCUUCUGAUCCUCCCACCUCAGCUUCCCAAAGUGCUGGGAUUACAGGCAUGAGCCACUGUGACCGGCCCACUUCUGUGGUUUCUAACUGCACAAAGGAUGGCGGUGGCAGCACAGGAGACUUUCCAGUGAUGGUGGGCAGGGAGCAGUCACUCCUGUGGUUUUCUGCUCCUGUGUCUGUUUGUGGGGUGACAGCUUCGUGCCACAUUUCUCAGUCUCCUCCCAAGAGGCCUUGCGUGCAUUUUUUUUUGUUACUCUGCUGGUAACAGCUGAAUUUAAAAUGGUUAAAAAGCUGUAGUAAUGAGUUUUCUCAGGUCUAUAACUGAUUCCAGGAGACCCUUUCAGGCUCAUUUGUGAAACGUGUGAGACGUAGACUAAGUCUAACACAAAAUUCACAAACAUUUGCUUGGGUAAAAGUGGCACCAUACUGAGAAAGAAAAUAUUACCUCAGUGCCAACAAAUUAAAAAUAAUUUUAUAUCCAAAUUGUUGGCUAAGGUAUUCCCAAAUUUCUCACGUCUAAGUUUUUAAAGUUGUUUAUAAAAAGAAAACUUUUAAUUUUUUGCUUCAGAUUACACACCGUUUGCUUCACUCAUUUGAAUUUGAUGAUGUGUUUUCAAGAGUGAUUGAAUGAAGCCUGUACUUACAUUGUGUGUGUUUUCUGGCGUACCGUGUCAUGAACGGACCACCUUGUUAGUAUUGAGUGCACACGCACCCAUAUCGCCUGGUGUGACCUCCGGCCGGGCAGUGCAUGUCUGGAGGCCCGAGUAGGAGGUGGGCGAACCAGUUCCCUGAUUCUGGCCUACCACCAAGACUUGAUCAGACAGAGUCAGAACAAAUACUUACUAAAUUAAAUCAAAUAAGUGGAUUCUGGCAGUUGGGUUGGUUGGAGUGUUGACUGCGUAAGGAGCGAUGGAAAUGCAGAUGGGGGUCUCUCCCUUCUGUUCACUUUUCUCCAAGUGUGGAGUGGUUGAUGGCCUUCCCGCUACCUUUGUCACUCCUCCUUAGACUCCAGGGCUAUUCACAUGACCUCACACACGUGACUGCAGCUCCACUUGCUGAAGGCGUGGUGUGCAUUUUCCUGGUCUGGACUUUGGAUUCAGAUCGCACUGAUGUAUGGAAUGGGGCCAGUGCACUGGUACAGGAUCCUAAGCCCAGAACUCAGAGGCCUUUUUUCCCCUACCCUCUUCCACUUCUUCCCUUGAGCUGGGAACUGGCCCAGGACAGCCCCAUCCCCUUGAGCUGAGAACUGGCCCAGGACAGCCCACUCUUCCCAGGAAGGAACUGGAGGAGCAGCGGCGAGCUGCUGUAGCUGCACCCAGCUAGGCCUGCUGACCCCCAGCUGCCCUUCAGGUGUGUGAGCCGUGGAGACGCCCUCCGUGUGCUGCUGCUGAGGUUCUGUGGUUGCUUGGGUCUGUGCGUGUAGGUAAGUGUUAGCGUUACCGAGGACGCCUUGAGUCAGCGGGGCACCGUCUUGGUUUUAAUGUGAUAUAAAGUGUGUUAAGUGAACACGCAACAGGGUGAUAUAACGUGUGUUAAGUGAACACACGACAGGCUUUCUCCUUCCUCUUAAUAGUCUUCCUCAUGAAAAUAAUCCAAGAACUGUAAAUAUGAAAAGCUUGACCUCAGACUCGAGGCCUUUACAGAAGACGAACGGGCCUGUGGUUUCAAGUCUGCCCGAGCGGGGCUGGAACCCGGCCUGGGGCUCCCUGAACAGUGCUCCAUCCUUGACCUGCAGACCGUCUUGUAUGAUGAGAAAAGGUGCUAGGGCCACCGGGUUGUGGGCCGCACGUGCAGAGACUGGCUGAAAACGCAGCCUCCCUUGCUGGGCCCCUCCGUCCGUGUCUGGAAUAGUCCUUAGAUCGCGCCUGGCCACGGGCUGCUUCCUGGGGCCCCGGGUGUGGCCCUGCGUGGACGCCCCAGUUCCCGGGCACGAGGUGUCGCUCUUGUGCUGACUGCGGAGAUAACGUUCUUGCUCAGAUUUUCAUGCCGUUAAUGGUUUGCCUCUUUAGCACAGAGUGAACUCAUCAGGCAGCCUCUGCGGGGACAUAAAUCAUAGCAUUUCUGAGGAACCUCAGCUGAAAUAAAUCAAGGAAUUUUUUUUUUAAUCAGCUCUUCAAUCACUCUUUUUAGUCACGUGGAAAAAUGGUCCGUGCUGUAUUUACAGUCUGAUGGGAAGGAGAUGUUUAACAUCCGUGUAGCAGAUUAAACAUGACAAGUUAUAUGGUGAAGAGUGUGAAAAGGUGUUUACGCCGACACGCAAUAUCUAGGCUGAUCUACAGCUCAGUAAUAGACGCCAUAAAUCUCCUGCAGGCCCGGGAGGCUGCGCGCGGGAGGAGCAACAUGGCGGGUCAGCGGCAUUCCCGCCUGCGCAGGCGCUGCCCAGUUCCAGCCAAUCCUCGCCUCGCGCGCUCAGGAGUGGGCGGAGUGUGGCCUCCCCGCGGCCGCAGGCAGCCUUUCACACGUGCGUGCGCACACCCCUGACGCAGGUUCGCCAGCUCGGCCCCGCCUUUCAAUGAAUUUUCUAACUCAUUGCCUUCCUGAUACUGUGAGUGAAAAAUAAACCCGAGAAAAUAAUGUUUUAUUCCAUCGCUAGUCCCAAACACAUUCUAGUUUUUUCAAUCAAACAAAAAACUUUUUAAAAAAGUGUAUUUAUUUACUUAACCUACUUUUUUUUUGUAGCCAUGGCUUUUUACAUUAUUAUUAUUAUUGAGUUGAAGUCUUGCUCUGUUUCCCAGGCUGGAGUGCAGUGGCCCCAUCUCCACUCACUGCAGCCUCCACCUCCUGGGUUCAAGCCAUUCUCCUGCCUCAGCCUCCCUAGUAGCUGGGACUAUAGGUGCCCGUCACCACACCUGGCUAGUCUCUGUAUGUUUUAGUAGAGUCAGGAUUUCACAGUGUUGGCCAGGCUUGUCUCAAACUCAUGACCUCAGGUGAUCCGCCCUCCUCGGCCUCUCAAAGUACUGGGAUUACAGGCGUGUGCUACCUUGCCUGGCCGUAUAGUAUUUUUAAUUGACAAAUAAUUGUGUAUACUUUUGGGGUAAAAUGUGAUGUUUUGAUCUAGGUAAUACAUUGUAGAUUCAAUCUAGCUAAUUAAUGUACCCAUCACCUCACCAACUUACUGUUUUUGUGUAAGAAUGUCAAAAUCUAUACUUUUAGCAAUUUUGAAAUAUACGUUAUUAUUAACUGUGGUCACCAUACAGCCAUUAGAUCACGAGAACUUCUUCCUCCACACUAGCAGAGACCUUUGAUCUACAUCGUCCUCUCCCUACCCUCAUGGCCCCUGCUAAAUCACCUUUCUGCUGCAUAUGUCUAUAAGACUGACUUUUUAAAUUUCACUGUAAGUGAGAUCACACCAUAUUUCUUUCUGCGCCUGAAUACUCCACUUAGCAUAAUGUCCUCCUGAUUGUGCAAAUGACAGGAUAUCAUUUUUUAUUUUCUUAAAGCUGAAUAAUAUCCCAUUGCAUAUAUAUACACCAUGAUUUCUUAUCCAUUCAUCCCUCAAUGGAUACUUAGGUUGAUUCCAGAUCUGGGCUACUGUGAAUACAUGGGAGUGCAGGUAUCCCUUCUGUGUACGGAUUUCAUUUCCUUUGAGUCUAUACCCAGCUGUGAGAUUGCUGGAUUGUAUGGUGGGGCCAUUUUUCACUUUUGAGGAACCUCCGUGCUGUCUUCCAAUAUGGCUGCAUGCUCACUAACACUGGUCAUUUGUGUUUUUCCUCAUAAACUCCUAACAGGCGCGUGGCGAUAUCUCAUCGUGGUCUUUUUGUGCAUCUCCUGCUGACUUGAGAUGUUGGGCAUCCUUCGUGGCCCUGUUGGCCAUGUGCAUCUUGUCUUUGAAGACGUGUCUGUUUGGACCCUUUGCCCAUUUUGUAAUUGGGUUCUUUGUUUUCUUGCUGCAGAAGAACUUCAGUUCCUUCUGUGUUUGGAUGGUAGCCCGUUGUCAGAUGGGUGGUUCGCAGACAUUUUCUAACCUGUUGUUUCCCUCCUCACUCUGUUGACUGCCUCCUUUGCAGCUCACAUUCCAGUUCUUGCAAAAGAAUUGUAGAUGGCAGAUGUUUUGGAUUUUAUUUAAAAAAUGAGAGACAUUUAUGAUAUAAAACAUUUGAUGUAAAAACUUGAUAGAUACCAGGAUUAUUGAAGUGAUAUGUAAAGUAGAAAUAAGUUUACUGUAAGUGAAACCUAAAGGGCUCUCUUACAAGCUUUCACGCCUUAGCCUUCUAGGGCCAUCUUUCCCCAUUUCUUUUCUCAACAACAAAAAAAGAAAUGCUAUAAACACAAUCGAUAUUUACUUUCACUUGCACAUGUGCAAGCGUGCGUGUAUGCACACACACACUCACACACUCUCUCUCUCUCUCUCUCUCUCUCUCUCCAGCAUGUUUCUUGGGUCUCACUCUGUUUCAGGCCGAUGUUUUCUGAAUUGGAAUGUAGAGUGGUUGGUACCAGCCUAUUUACACUCUCUUGGCUGCCAUGACUUGAUGCCAAUAGGAAGGAGUUGUGAGAGAAUGACCCAGGUUAGUAGUGGGUUCGGGGUAGCAAUACUUUUCAGAAUUUUUGUUUGUAUUCAGUAAGUAUUUACUGAAUGCCUAUCAUAGACACAGCCAAAUAGUAGCCACUGUGAAGAAUGUAAGUCGUACAAACCAUGGCUGUCAUUCCAAGGAGAUUUCAAUUCAUUUAGAAAGGCCAUAGUGCUAAUCAAAUCGUGUUGUAACCAACCAAGCCGGCUUAACCCCAUCCACAAGAUAAAGGGAUGACCAUAGAAGAAGAAUGACUAUGAAAAGAGGAUUUGUUUUCUAAUAGCAUAUUAUAAUGUUUUUAAACUCAACUUCAUAGUAGCAUACAAUGCAAGGAUUUCUGGAGCAGGAUGAUUUCCAUAGCAUAUCACUUCUAUCCUUUCCCAACUCUCCUCCCCCUGAACAUUCCAUUUAGCAUGGCAGGAGUUGGUGAUGCCAGCGUGGCCCAGGGGCUGGUGUUCGGCAUCCUGCUCUCUGGCUGGCCUUAAUGCCGGGGCUCCGCCAACUGUUUCCUGGCCUGCGCCGCCACUUUGGGAAGAAGCUUCCUGUGCUUCUGACUUCCUGCUUUGUGCGGCUACCGUGUGAGACCUGGGGUCUCAGGGUCCUGUUCCCACAGGCUCAGUGAGCAGAAGGGGUUUCUCAGUCUGCCCAUGACUGCCCCCAGCUCUGUCUCCAUCCCUCUCCUCCUGGUGUCUUCUCAGGUCUGGAGUUGCAGGCUGGUCCUCAUGCCUUAUCUUGUCUCAUGUAUGCUCUUAGCUCCAUUUACCUUGGGUUGUGAUAUUACGUCUUAAUUUCCUGCAUGGUAUUUAAUAGUGAAACAUUAGAGGAAAGCCUGUUAAACACAAAACAUGAAUGCCUACGAUUCCCAUUGUCAUUACUAUUCUGAAAAAUUCAAGCAAUUACAAGAACAAUAUCGUAACUAGAAUAAAACUUCAGAGGAAAAAAGGAUUCAGUAUUUUAAAUGUUAGGACUUAAAAUUAAAAGGAAUCAAGUUAGAAGCAAUUGAAUUUGUAAUAAUGACACAAAUGUCAUGGUUAUUACUAUAUUUGGGAACAACUUGUGGGUAAUAUGACAAAAAAUAAAUCCUGUUGUGAUAAAUCUGUGUGUGAUGUGUAGGAUCCUGUUAUGAUAAAUCUAUGUGUGAUGUGUAGGAAUGCCAUUAGUGACAUCUAUCAUUUUUACACCAUUUACUGCACUUUCAGGGGCCCUGCCACCUGUCCGUUGCCCUGGAAGGGGUGGCCUCAGGUGUUAUAUGAUGCAGACAGCACGCUGCUGCCUCGCCAAUCUUCUGCACCUCCCUCGUGUCCCAAACUGGUGGGUCCUGGAGGAAAGUGGCUGACCCACACCUGCCACCAGUUCUCUCUCUGAUGAAUCUGAAUUGAGAGACACAGAGACUAUAUGGGAUAGUUCAGUGGUGGUGGGGAGGGAGGCACAGAGGUGAAAAUUCAUGCAGAGUUGGGGAGAAAUGGACCACAAUAAAUCAAAGCCCCGUACCAGCUAAAAUCACAGAGAAGCAGAGACCUUGGGCAAGACGAGAAGUUGGUCUGAAGAGAGACGCUCAGGACCAGAGCAGAUUCAUGGAGCAUAGCAGUGACUGAGAUGGUGUGUGUGUGUUGCUGGGUGGUGGUGGGGUGAGGGGAGUGGCGGGGGGGGGUAGAGAGACAGAGAGAGUCAGAAGGGGAGGGGAGACAGAGACAGAGGGAGAGAGUGGGAAGAAGAGCUUUGGCCCUGGCUGUCUUGUUCCAGCCCCUGGGGUGCUUGUCUAUAUUGCGUAUUCUGUCUUGGAAUUCCUUGAGUUCUAGGACCUAUAAUCUUACAACAAAAUCUCUUUUGCUUGUUAGUUUGAGUGGUAUUUCUGUGUAUCGAAGCCAAAGAUUUUCCUGCCUAAAAUAAUAUUAAGAAGGAAAGCAUAGAACUAUUAGAGGAAAGCAAUCAUUUAUUUUAUGGAAAGACAGGAACAGAAUAAAUGGAGGAGCAUUCCAUGUUGAUGCAGUGGGACAUGAAUAGUGUGGGGAUGCCCGUUUUCCUAAAAUUAAUUGCUGGGGCUCAAAUAAUCGAUGAAAAUGGGAUUAAUCUUCCUUUUCUUCAUGUUCUUUUGAGAUUGCUGGAAUUAUUUUAAAGUUCAUCUGAUAGAAUGAACCUAAUAAGAAGUAAUACUAAUAAUAACAGGGAACAUUUACUUAGCGAUUACUGGUACUAGAGCCUUUCAACUAAUUUCCAUGUAUUCAGAAGAGAAUGGCCACAAAUAAACAUGACAUUUUGUAAAAGGAAGAGUGGUGAGGGACACAAAUGUACGAAAUGUUAAAACCUGCUCUAACGGUGGCCAUCAAACAUUCGUGGUAUCUGCUCUGGAGAAUAAGUUGAAAAUCAGAGAGCCUCACAAGCGCUCGUUCUGAAUUUAUUUAUCUUUGUAUUAUGUGUAGGAAUAUGUCAUAUAUUCUGUAUGUUGCACUUGGCUACUAAUUUUAAAUAUUGUCUUACAAGGUCAACUUAUAUGCUCACUUUAUUCUCCCAAAUGAAUUACAUUUAGAUGAGGUAAACAUGUAAAAAAAUCAGGCCACAGAAAACUGGAAAAGACUCUCAUGGUCUCCCCCAGAUCUUCUGUGAGCAAACAGUGCAUUUCACUUCCCUCAAGCUGUUUUUCAUUAAUUCUGAUUCCCAGACUUUUCUCCAUUCUGACUACACCAUAAAGGGACUUUACCCCUCGAUGAAUGAUUUUAGCGGCCAUCAAACUGUUUUAAACAGGCAGAUGUCUCCGGAUUAUCACCUAUGUGCAAAAUAGAAAGUGACUUGGAGGUGGAAAGACCAGCCAGAAAACUGCUGCAGGCCAGGAAAGCGAGUGGUGGCUUGGGUUAAACACAGAAAUAUGUAAGAGUUUGUGAUGGAUGGGAUGUGAGGUUCCCGAAAGGGCGGACCCGGGCAGCUGGGAGAAGUGGUGCAAUUCACCAAAAGAGGAAAAGUGCAGGAGCAGGCCGGGCAGAGAAGCUCGUGCGUUCAUUCUUAGACAGGUUGAGUUUGCAGUGCUCUGAAAUACCCAGUGGAGACAGGUAGUAGACAGCUUGGCAUGCGUGUUUGAGUUUCAGGAGACCAGUCUUGAAGGAAAAUCUAGAUUUCGGAGUUAUUGGCAUAUAGAUAAUAACAAAAGCUCUGGAGAUGGAGUGGCAGUGGUUGAGGUGAGUAGUAGAGAACCCACGGAGCUGGGCCCCUGAACAGACACCCUCUGGGACCUUAGCCCUGGAAGGUAAGAGCUGCCAUGGAGCAUACAGUGGCAAAGACAGGGCCUUUUCACGGUCCCAGUGGCAGGAACUCCCAUUUGUCAAGGUGAAUUCGGUGCUGAUGUUCAAACAGCCAGCAACAAACUCACAGGUGAGCCCUUGAUGUGACUCGGUUCCUCAAGGAGGUCAUCUGACCACCUGGGGACAAACUGACUCUGCUGCACCCCUUCUGUCUGGGAGGAAUGGCGGCUUGGCCUCAGGGUAGCAGUCACCCACCUGGGGCGCUGGUUUGCUGUUCCUGUUCCAAUGCUUCAGGCAGGACCACUGUCUGAGCAGCAGGUGCACAGGCAGGGACUGUCUUGACCUCAGGGAAUCACAGUGAGAGAGGGUGUAUCAGUUUGUUCUCACGCUGCUAAUAAAGACAUACACGAGACUGGGUAAUUUAUAAAGGAAGAGGUUUAAUGGACUUACAGUCCACAUGGCUGGGGAGGCCUCACAAUCAUGGCAGAAGGCAAAGGAAGAGCAAAGGCACGUCUCACAUGGCGGCAGGCAAGAGAGCGUGUGCAGGGGAACUGUCCAUGAUGAAACCAUCAGAUCUCGUGAGACUUACUAUCAUGAGAACAGCAUGGGAAAGACCCACCCCCAUGGUUCAUACCUCCCACUGGGUCCCUCCCAUGAUACAUGGGCAUUCUGGGAGCUACAAUUCAAGAUGAGAUUUGGGUGGGGACACAACCAGACCAUAUCAGAGGAGCAGAAGGGCGGCUGCCACCAGACCCACUGGAAGCAUCAUGUACCUGUCCACGUGCUUCAGGCCUGAGAGAGCGGAGGUGUGUGGGCUGAAACCCCAGCUCUAGGGCAGUGCUCUGCCAGGCUGGAGUCUAGGCCUAGAAUCUGAGCUCUUUCCAUGGCACUGUGUUCCCGAGGAAGCCCAGGAACCAGAGGUGGAGGCAGGAGUAGCCCCACUUUUCAUCCCUUCGGGUGAGCCACUGGGAGACUUGGUGCUUCCUCUUCUUGCCACUGGGGGCUCUUCAAGGCUAGUUUAGUCCCCUAAGAGUGAGAACUUUUGCUGGUGGUCAUAGAUGGGGUGCUACUGGAUGAUAGGCCAACAGCUCCCUCUGCACCAUUUUUGCAUGGGAGCCCCCGCUUGGGCUGGCGGAGACUCUUGAGCUGUGCUGCAGCCCCGGGACCUAGUGCCCCAAGCCUCCUUCCUCAUCCCGCCGCAGGUUAGGUCUGCAGUUCGGCCGUGAACUCUCCGCUCCUGCUCCUGCUCCCUCUGUCUCACUCACAGGAACUUCCCUGAUCUAGCUCACACACUUCAAAUUCUGGUUUUGAGUCAGUGUCACCAAGGCUGCCAGCUGACCCAGAUGGGUAGGUUGACAUUGGGAGAUAGUCUUGACAUCCUGAAAUGGAGGAAUUGCUUUGAUUAAUAGGAAGAUACUAUUCUUCCACCAAGCAAGUUUGAGGAACGUUUUCUCUGGGGAAGAUUUUCAGUGCUCCAUUCGGAAUAUUAUUUGAAAAGAUACAGGAAACAUAAACCCUUCAAAAACCCACAGUUGAGGGAAUUUCGCUGAAGCAGAAAACAGGCUAAGGCCUGAGGAGGGGCUUACCGAGGCUGAAGUAGGUCAGGAACCGACUCCAGGCUGUGUGGGUGGGAACUGCACCAGUGGGGCCGGUCUAUUCAUCAGAUGCAAAAUCAGACCAAAAGAUUGAGCAGCAGAAGGAAUCGGCAUCCUUGAGCCCAAAAUACUUCCAUCAAAACCUUGCCUCUACUUUUGGGUUUCUUCUCCAGUAAUUUACACGUUUUCAUCUGGCUUUUGCCUUUGUCUGGAUUGUUGAGUUUUAAUUUUGUGGAUAAGGCCAGAAUGCUUCCUUCAGAAAGGGCUUUGCUCCAGGGAUGUGGGACAGAGCGAUGUCCUGCAGGUGGGUUAGUCUGAAGAAUGUCCUGGAAGACUCCUGAAGAUUCACCGAGCCUCUCAUGGGAGCCCUUGGAAUUCCAGUAUCAGGCACAUGUUAUGUUUUCCACAUUUCCUGUUGAAAUGCAAAAAGAUAUUUCAUUCCUCUGUAUCUCAGAGAAAUGGCACUAACACCUCAAGAGGACUCAGGAGGCAGGAGACUGUUGAUAUCAGGUCGUGAAGGAGAAAGAUACAAAGCCCACAUUUACCAACCUCACACCUCCCUGCUUCACCUGAAGCUUCAAUCUACUUCUUUUUCUUUCUUUCUUUUUGAGAUGGAGUUUCACUCUUGUUGCCCAGACUGGAGUGCAAUGGCACAAUCUCAGCUCACUGCAACCUCUGCCUCCUGGGUUCAAGUGAUUCUCCCAACUAGCUGGGACUCAGGCAUGCAUCACCACACCUGGCUAAUUUUGUAUUUUUGGUAGAGAUGGGGUUUCUUCAUGUUGGUCAGGCUGGUCCCAAACUCCCAACCUCAGGUGAUCUGCCCACUUUGGCCCCUUAAAAGUGUUGAGAUUACAGGCAUGAGCCACCGUGCCUGGCCAUGUCAAGCUACUUCUGAACAGUGAGGAUUUCGACCCAGGAGCUCUCAUAGUGAGGUUUUUGACUGACUGAACUCUGCCUUUCCUUUGGGAAGUUAGAAGGCCUUGCUUGAGGAACACAAUUGUCUUUAUGAAAUGGAAUGUGAUGAUGCAUUAUCCCCAUUUUAUAGUUGAGAAAGUUGUCAACAAGUCGAGUGACUUUUGGGAGUCUUGGAUUCAACCCAAUGCUCUGUCUCCACUGGGUGAAGCUGUCUUGUCUCAUGUUCAAAUCUAGUGCGUCAGAAGAAAACACACUUAAAAGAAGAAAGCACGGAGGCAGAGGAAACAUCGGAAGGUGUUCUGGAAUAGAGGGUGAUACAUUUUCAGCAGAUCAGGAGGAUUCUCUGCUAAUGAGGGGAAUUCCAGCCGUGCCCAGGAAAUGUCUUUCAUAACCUGCCUUUAUGUUUGGUCUCAUGGACAUUUUGUUUUGUUGCCAGAGCAUUUGCUAGGGUCAUGCCAACUCUAAUGAAGGGUGCCCGUGAUCUGAAACUUUGAUGGUUGAUGAAUCUCUCUGAUGGGAACACAAAGGCACAGACACUCAGAAAACCCUCAGCACAAAUGAUGAAGAUUCCUAUGAUGGUGCCCUAACCCCCAAUGUGACUGUGUUUGGAGAUGGGGCCUGUGAGGAGGUGAUAAAGGUUAAAUGAUGUCAUCAGGGUGGGCCCUGGUUUGACAGGACUAGUCCCUUCUAGCAAGAGGAGGAGACAGUGAGAAGGUGGCCGUCUGCAAGGCAGGAGGAGAGCCCUCACCAGGAACCAACCCUGGCACCUUGAACUUGUACUUCCAGCCCCCAGGACCAUGAGAAGAGCCUUGCUUCGUCACCAGGUGCCAGGCUGGAGUACAGCCACGCAAUCUUGGCUCAUUGCAACCUCUGCCUCCCAGGUUCAAGCAAUUCUCCUGCCUCAGCCUCCAAGGCCUGUUCCGGGGUGUGGGAGGCCUGCCAGGAGACCACGUGAACAGGAGAGAGGAGAACAUUCCUGGUGUCCAGCCGUGGGGAACAGUUUAUUUUCCAUAGCCCGAUGAACGGAAGGCAAAUUCAGACCCCGUGUGCAUGAGCUGGUAAAGGUGAGCAGCCUGCUUCUCUUGAUCUUGUAAUGAGUUUGUAAAUGCGGACACGCACACAUCCACCCUGGUUGCGCUUAGAGACCAGGCCUCCAGAGGCCCCAUCCCCUGGGCACAGCUACUGGGUGGUUAGCGGGAUGGGGUGGGGGUGGGGGGUCUGACCCUUGCUCACCUGCAAGGCAGGCCUCAGCUGGCUUUCUAUAGGCUCUACCUGAAGCUCCCUGAGAGAAGCAUUUCCCCAUGAGAACACUACUGCUUUAUUGAAAAACAGAACACAGGACCCAGGGGCCAGGUUGCUACAAACGGAGUCCAUGGUUCGAGGCCGGCAGAAGGCAAGGGGUGCUUGCUUAUAGCUGGGUGCCUCUCAUGGAGACAGGAGUCCCGCAGCCCCACCCAGCCUGUUCAUUGUUCAGACACCCUCAGUGCCUGGCACGGAGCUGGACUCAGGAGCUGCUGGGUGGUGUGUUUGGAAGGAAUGGCCUAGAACAAGCUGUGGGAGGGCCCGGAUGUGUGACCUCUCCCCAGCUAGUCUUUCCUCCUCGAAGAGCAGAGUGCUGGUCAUGUUGCCCACAGUGUGGCCACAAAUGUUUGUUCUCCUCCCUUUCCUCUCCAGAGCUUUGGAGAGGUCAAUGGUGACCUGGGAAGGGUGACACAAGGAAGGGCGGGUGCAGCAGAUUUAACCAGCUCAGAUGCCAGGCUGGCAAGAAUUAGGGUUGCUGGGUAAAAUCCCAGAUGCCCAGGUCAUUUGAGUUUCUGGGAACCCUGGCUAGAAUGGGGUUCUCAUGGACUUGGGAGGCCUGCAGGCAGCAGCUGGUCCCACGUGGAAAGGUGUGUUUUUCACAGCCGCAGACCCGAACCCUCGCCUCCAGUGGCCUUCCUACAGACACUUGUUGCUGGACACUAGUUACGAGAGUUUUGGGAGCAGGGGACCCAUCAGUGCAGCACCGUCUUCAUGCUGCCAGACGCGCACAGGGGCGCAGGUGGGGAGGAGGAGACUGGGGGCUUCAGACCUCAGGUCCCACCUUUCCUGGCAUUCUCCUUCCAGCUCAGGCAUGAGUUACUCCUGUGGCUGUGCUCAGAGGGUCUGAAGUUCUGUGUUCUGACCUAGACCCUGUUGAGACCCUGGAGAGAGAGAGCAAGGACUCAGGAUUUGAACCCCUGCGUAGAAUCCCUACAUUGCUACUGUGGAAAGGAGGCAUAGACAUCACUGUUAUGUUGCCUUGUGCUGCAGGUGGGCAACUGAGGCCAAGAAGGUUCAACAAGGUACUCAAGGGCGAGCCUCACGCUUCUCCUGCCCAAUUGUCCCCAUGCCCAGGGACAGAUGAAAGGAUUGGUAUGAUUGAAACAUAGCCAGGGGCUGGCUUUGCUCAGGUUUUGAAGCUGGCAUUUGUAAAUGUACUUGUAGGAAAAAAAUGAUUGCUUCAAAAAGGCAUGAAACAGAGGGAGCAAUGACGGAGAUGGUGCUGGCAGCAGUGUUGAUGUUUGAGAAAAGGACUUAGCUUUUACUCUGAUACAGAAUGUUGGUAUCACCUUGAAAGAUACAGGGCAAAUGAAAUCAGCCAAUUGGGCGUCAUGAGGUUAAUCAAAUAUGAAGAAGCGAAUUAGAUGCGGGCAUCUCACAUCCCCAGAGUGACCGCUGCGUGGACGGCCUGUGGGACUCAGAAUCCCGGGGUCGCAGGGGCCUGAAGGGCAGAGCAUUUGGCCCAGCUCUGCGCCCACCCUAGAGGCCGCUCUGGUCGGUCUUUGCCCGAGCUCAUCACUAAAGGGAAAUCCAUCCCUUGCUUUCUCUCUCUCUUUUUUUGAUAGUUAAAGUAUUUUAAAUCAAAAAGAAUUAAAAAAUGCUGAUGAGGAUGUGAAGAAAGCAGAACCCUUGUCACUGACAGUAGAAAUGUAAAUUAGUAUUGCCACUGUUAAAAAAUAAUAGGGAGGUUUCUCAGAAACCUAAAAAUAGAGUUAUGCUAUGAUCCAGCAGUUCCACUGCGGAACGUAUAGCCAAUGGGAAGGGAAUUAAUGUAUCAAAGUUUCCUCUUCUUUGGGUGGAUACCCAGUCGUGGGACUGCUGGGUCAAAUGCAUCCCUUGUUUCCUAAAGUGGGUAAUUUUUGUUCCCAGAAGCUAGUAGAAGUUUUGCUUAAUUCCAUUCAUGUGCAACUUACCCGUUACUGGCAAGCCAGGAGACUCACACACCUCAGGGAGAAAAGUGUCCUCACCCGACGCCUUCUCCAUUCUCAUUUAGUUUGAGAUGACAUAUUCUCCUAGUUCCUUUUCCUUGAGAGCAAAGCAUUUAUUUCGUAUCUGCAGGAAGCAGAACUGGCACCUCCUUGAGGAACUCCUUAAGACUUUACCUGGAACAUCCGUCACUCCUUAAGACUUUACCUGGAACACCCGUCUAUUGAGUUUUUCAUACAAUAGUACUUUUUUCCGUAUUUUGAAGCUAUAGUUAAUGUAGGUGUCACUCGGGCCUGUCUGCUGUGCUGUACAACCUGUGGUGACUAAGAUGGCAUUUGGCUGAAGGAAAACACCAGAUUCACAAUGAAGACUGUAUUAUUCUGGAUAUGUUAGUUUUACUUGUUUUAAGAAAAAAAAUUAUUUUAUCCAGCAUGGUGCUGUUUACAUAUUCCUUUCCUUGAUAAAUAACGAAGGUAUUGAGAACACCGUUUCUUCAAACUCUUUGAUCCCUGUGGCUUAGGAAGGUUGGAGACCUGCAGGCUCUGAACCAAAGACACAGAUCUGGCCAGAAAGUCCAGUUUUAUUGAACUCAGCAAAUUUGAUUUGACUCAGGCCAGGUCAUUCUUUAUUAUUAUUAUUUUUUAUUUGAGAAGGAGUCUUGCUCUGUUGCCCAGGCUGGAGUACAGUGGCCCGAUCUCGGCUCACUGCAACCUCCGCUUUCCGGGUUCAAGCAAUUCUUCUGCCUUAGCCUCCUGAGUAGCUGGGAUUAAAGGUGCCUGCCACCAAGCCCAGGCUGGGUCACUCUUUAUGGAGCAGACGGACAGGUGAAUGGGAUGUUGGCCUGAGCCUUGAUAAACUGGUAACAGGGAGGGUUAAGAGGGAACAUGAGACGGGGCCAGAAAGAACAGAAGAGCAAAGCCCAUUCCAUGGGAGAGAGGAGAGUCACGGAAACAGGAGAGGUGAGAAAGUUUGACUCUGACAUUUGGGGCAGCAGCUUUGGAGAGCAGCGUGGGGCCAAAGUGCAUCUAAUUCCACGGAAUUCUCUGUUGUCGUCAUUGACUGCGGGAUUGAAAUAAUAUUUUGGAGCGUUCCUGCUACUUUACCUUGGAGAAGAUACUUCCCAGAGGCCAAAAAUCAGCAAUUUUCUCCGCUGGCCGAAUGUGUUAUCUUCACCUUUGGCUUCCACAGGACAGAAAGCAAGCUUACAUUGAUUUUUUUUUUUGAGACGGAGUUUCGCUCUUGUUACCCAGGCUGGAGUGCAAUGGCGCGAUCUUGGCUCACGGCAACCUCCGCCUCCUGGGUUCAGGCAAUUCUCCCGCCUCAGCCUCCUGAGUAGCUGGGAUUACAGGCACGCGCCACCAUGCCCAGCUAAUUUUUUGUAUUUUUAGUAGAGACGGGGUUUCACCUUGUUGACCAGGAUGGUCUCGAUCUCUUGACCUCGUGAUCCACCCGCCUCGGCCUCCCGAAGUGCUGGGAUUGCAGGCGUGAGCCACCGCGCCUGGCCUACACUGAUUCUUGGUCUUGAUUUCCAGAUACAAAAGCAGCACCUGGAAUUUUCAAAGCUUCUAAACAGAUCUGGUAUGAGGAAGUAAGACUUCGUCCAUUUUCUUCCAAAUGAUCUGUAGAGAAAGAUGAACUCUGAGUUUAAUAUCACACAAGAGGCCAGCCCUAUCCCGUGCUCAUGGCUUCCUUUUGGUGCAGUUGAGGUUUCUGUGUGGAAUCAGAGCUUAUCUGAGACCUGCCAUUGGGAUGUCUCAUUGGCAUCACACAAACGUGAAGCCUGCAAUAGUGAGGGUGAGUUUCCUUUCUCCAGUUAACUCCUUUAAAGCCAAUACGUAUUUUGGUAAAAAUGUAUGUUUUAGCAUAUAUGUAAUGGGUAAGGAAGGUGUGCUGCUCCCUCUGAGGUUUCUUCCACAUCUGAGAAAGCCACAGGAUGUUUUGGCAGACGGAGUUGGCCAGAGUCAGAACGGGUCUGAGCAGUGUCACGCCAUUUGCUGCAGAAAAGGUGAUCCAAAAUGUACACACCAGACGGUUUCCAACAGUGGAACUCUUCUGCAGGAAGUCGAAAAUGACAACACAGAGGUGUAACAUGGUCCUAGGCUUUGUAUUAAAAUCGUCAUGCUCUCUCACAGCCAAGGGAGCUCCAUUCAGGGAAUGCUGUUUUCGUGGGAUGAAUCAAGAUGUCCUGAAAAUUCUGGGUCAGUGCUUCUCUAUCCUUUGAAAAGACCUUAAUAAGAAUUCUGGGUCUCCGUUGCGGAGAAUAGAAAACAUUUAGAUGCAAAUAUUAAUCGUUAAGUCUCAUGCAAACUUGAAUUUUGGGACAAUAUUUCCAAAGGAAUGGCAACAGAGGCAGCAGUCAGAACAAUGCAUGGGAAGAAUGAUGGGUGAGACACGGCCGGUGUGCAGCGGGCGUGCGUGUGUGUCUGUCUCUGGGUGCGUCUCUGUGUGUCUGCAUGUGUCUGUGUGCAUCUGUGUCUGUGUGUUUUCCUGUGUGUUUGCAUGACUGUGUGUACCUGUCUGUGUGUCUCUCUCUCUAUGUGUGAUUCUUUGCCUAUGUGUGCCCCUUUGCCUAUGUGUGCCCCUAUCUCUGUGCAUAUCUGUGUGUGUGCUUAUGUGUCUAUACGUGUGCACCUGGUAUGGGUUAGUGAGCAUGUCUGUGUGUGUUUCUGUGUGGAUCUAUGUGUCUCUGUGUGUGCAUUUGUAUUGGUGUGCAUCUCUGUGUCUGUGUGUCAGUGUGUCUGUGUUUGUACUUGUCUCUUUUGUGUGUCUUUGGGUGUUUGUCUGUGUGUUUGUGAAUGUCUUUGUGUCCGUGUGUACCUGUGUGUCAGUGAAUAUGUCUGUGUCUCUGUGCAUCUAUGUGUCUCUGUGUAUUUGUCUGUGGGUGUAUCUGUGUUUGUGUGUGUGCUUUCCUGUGUCUGUGUACCUGUGUCCAUGUAUGUGUCUGUGUGCAUAUCUGUGUGUACACUAUGUGUGUCUGUGUGGUUGUGCGUAUCUGUCUCUGUGUGUGUGUCUGUGAGUGCAUCUCUAUCCAUGUAUCUGUAUUUGUGUGUCUGUAUGUGUGUCUCUCUGUGUCUGUGUAUUUGUGUGUCUGUAUCUCUGUGUGUGUGACUGUGUGUUUAGUGUCUGUAUCUGUGUGACUAUGAAUGUGUCUAUCUGUGUGUCUGUGUAUCUGUAUCUGUGUGACUAUGAAUGUGUCUAUCUGUGUGUCUGUGUUAUCUGUAUCUGUGUGACUAUGAAUGUGUCUAUCUGUGUGUCUGUGUAUCUGUAUCUGUGUGACUAUGAAUGUGUCUAUCUGUGUGUCUGUGUAUCUGUAUCUGUGUGUACGUGUCUGGGGCUGUGUGUCUGUGUCUGUAUGUCUGUGAGUGUGUCUGUGUGACUAUAUCUGUAUCUGUGUGUGUCUGGGUGUGUAUCUGUACAUGUCUCUGUGUCUGUGUUUGUGUCUCAGUGUGUGUCUGUAUCUUGUGUUUGUUUAUACGUGUCUCUGUGUCUGUGUGUUUGUGUGUCCGUGGGUCUGUGAGGGUGUAUCUGUGUCUGUGUGUGUUUGUGAGUGUAUCUCUGUGGGUCUGUCUGUGUGUGUGUGACUAGGUGUGUGUUGAUGUGUUUGUGCAUGUCUGUUUCUGUGUUUGUGAGUGUGUGUGUAUCUGUGUGUCUAUCUGUGUGUGUAUGACUGGGUGUGUGUCAAUGUUUUUCUGCAUGUCUGUUUCUGCAUGAGUGUCUCUGUGUGUCUGUGGGUCUGAGUGUGUGUGUGUAUCUGUGUGUGUGUGGUUCUAUGUCUGUGUGUGUCUGUGUCUGGCUGUGCCUGUGUGUCUGCAUCUGUGUGUGACUAGGUGUGUGUUGGUGUGUUUGUGUGUGGUUCUGUGUCUUUGUGGGUCUGUGAGUGUGUGUGUGUGUGACUGGGUGUGUGUUGGUGUGUUUGUGCAUGUCUCUGUGGGUCUGAGUAUGUCUGUGGUUCUGUGAAUAUGUGUGUGUAUCUAUCUGUGUGUAUGUCUGGGUGUACACCUGUGUGUGUUUCCCUGUGCACCCCCAUUCCCACUGGGCAAUCUGCCAUGAGUGCAGGGUGCUGGCCGGGGAGGGCUUGUCAUCUGGGAGUGCCAGCAGACACCACCGCCAUCCGCAGCAAGCAUCCACCUGCUCCGCGGGCGUCUUUUUCAAGCAAGUUCAGCUCACCUCUGCUGCUUUUGGUUUUCCUUUGCUUAAUUGCAGGUGAUGAUUCAAAAAAGCCUUCACCUGUUUUCACCUGGCUUUCAUCUUUCGCAGACAAAGCAGGCUGGGGCCUGGGCCUUGAUCUGCGGCGUGCUCAGGCCCUGGGUAUUAAAGGGGCUGGGAUCACCCUCGGGCUUUUAAGGGUUUUUUUUGGGUUAAAUUGAUGAGCAUGUAUAAUAAAUUGAAGCUUUGUUGUUUGGCAGAUUUUUUUAUGUUUGUUAUUCUUCUAUCAGUGCAGAGACUGGUGUGGGGGUGGCAUCACCUUCUCUUUCCUCUCCACUGCUCAGAUUUGUCUUGGGAUCAUAAUGGACAGAUUUUAAGACUACAAAUCCUUUUGUUAUGUUUCUGUUUCUUCAAUAAGAGUCCUAAGUGCAGGUGUCCAAGUGUCCAGAUGUCCAGCGUUAAGGUAGCCGAGUCUGUGCUGGGCUGAGGGAUGUGGCCCCCGGAGGACUGCUGCUGCUGUUCCCCAUGUCUUUCCAUAGAGCGCAUGGCCUGAAGGUGAGGCCGUCCCACUCAGCCUCAGCCUCUCAGCACCCAGCUCCCUCCUGGUCCACGGCAAAUGCUCAGCAAACUCCUGUUUGUUGGACGUUAGGGGCUCAUUCGUCUGCGUGUAGUUCUCCUGUUCAUUUCUUUGGAAUGUUAUUGUGUACAAAGCAGAACUGAAGUAUAGGUAUUGUGCUUGGGACCCACUUGCCCCAUGUAAAGCAUUUCAUGGGUGCCUUGGAGAAGCACACCACACCUUAGCAGGACGAGUGUGCGCUGCCCCUAAGCCACGGCAGCUAGCAAUAAUCAAUUUCAGACAUGCUUGCCUGGGUCUGUACACAGACUGCACAGCUCCUGUUUUCUGCAUGGAAAGGGGACUGUUGAAUGUAUCUCUGAUGCUUCUGUUACAUACCAGAACAUAAAAUGACAGGUGUGUGUGUGUGUGAGUGUGAAGUGCAUGUGUGUAUUGCAGUAUUCAUUUUGGGGUGGACGAAAGGGAACAUUUCCCAAAUACUUUCUUUUUUCUUUCAGUAAAUGAGCUCUUACUCUUGGUAGUGUGUGGACAAUCAUGGAAUACACAGGAAGGUUGUGUUGACUGCGUUUUCAGUCCUCACCCCUCUUCUCGGGUUGAGGUGAUCGAACCCUGCCCGUACUUGCUAAAAUGCUCCACUCUGUGCCAAUUCUUUGUAAAUAAAACGGGGCUCCCCCUCCCCCACACCGUGGUUGCUUCCUGCAGCCCCAUUCACUACCACGUUCAGCCUAAUCACAUCUCUUGGAAAUAAUAUGAGAAAGUUAUGCUGUUUUACUCCAUCAGAUUUAAUAAGUUUGGAUGGUUUCCAAGUACUAGGCAUUAAUCACACUUAAACCCAGGCCUAGAUAGUUCAUCCACCCGGAGUAUUCAUGUCAGAGACAUAAAACAAUCUGCUUUAAUGCUCAGAGUCCUCUUGAAACUGAGCACUUGGCUCGUGUUAAUAAAACUUGCUUUCUACAGAGGGGCUGCAGAGGACGGGGCAUGGGGAUGUUUAUAUCAUGUAAAGCAUUUCAUGGGUGCAUUUUCCUGCGCUGUACUUUCUAAACCCAGUUUUAAAGCUCUGCAGAAUUAUAUGAAAAAAAUUAUGCAACAAGGUAAGCCUUGGAAUAAGGAAGAAUUAGUCACACCCUGGCAGCACCCAGAGUUUGGUUUACAUCAAAGUGGUGGAGAGAACGUUGUUCUUCUGACCUGACAGCUCUCCCAGCUCAGGGCUUCCAUUCUGGGAUGAUAGGGAAAUUGGAGGCAGCAUUCGCCCAUUUUCCAGCAGGUGGGUGUGCUGUACCCUCUCUUUAGAGCUCUCCAGGACAUCCAACAGCUGGAGAGAACCAGUGAAACCAGUGGGGGCUGGGGAGACCGACGGAAACGGACACUCACGAGGCUUGCUUCAUCGCCCAUCUGCGUGGGGUCUGCGU
Molecule: long non-coding RNA, 27568 nt
Organism: Callithrix jacchus (white-tufted-ear marmoset)
Lineage: Eukaryota; Metazoa; Chordata; Mammalia; Primates; Cebidae
Source: RefSeq, a predicted model, not a curated record